ACGUAGGGCGCGAGCGUUGUCCGGAAUUAUUGGGCGUAAAGAGCUCGUAGGCGGCCUGUUGCGUCCGCUGUGAAAGCCCGGGGCUUAACCCCGGGUCUGCAGUGGAUACGGGCAGGCUAGAGGUAGGUAGGGGAGAAUGGAAUUCCCGGUGUAGCGGUGAAAUGCGCAGAUAUCGGGAGGAACACCGGUGGCGAAGGCGGCUACCUGGACCAGCACUGACACUGAGGCACGAAAGCGUGGGGAGCAAACAGGA
This 253-nucleotide ribosomal RNA is filed under the name uncultured prokaryote. RNAcentral describes it as "partial 16S ribosomal RNA". It matches the Rfam family "Bacterial small subunit ribosomal RNA", at positions 525 to 777 of the family's 1533-position model. The record is from RNAcentral.